Molecule: long non-coding RNA, 2705 nt
Organism: Homo sapiens (human)
Lineage: Eukaryota; Metazoa; Chordata; Mammalia; Primates; Hominidae
Gene: ISOC1-AS1
Product: ISOC1 antisense RNA 1
Exons: 2
Source: RefSeq, a predicted model, not a curated record
AUAAAGAAGUCUGCAUCCUUAGUCCCAGACCUCCGCAGUUAGUAUUUGGAUUCUAGCCUUUAUAAAUGGACUUCUCAAAGGUGCAUCCAACAUCUGAGUAUUCUGGCAGCAGUAACGUAAAAGGACUGACAAGGAAGGCUGCAGAGAGGUGUCAGACACGAAAACGCUUGAAGACAUAAAAAUGAGGAGUCUUAAGCACCUAAGAACUGCAAUUCCCUAUCUGAGCAGCAGGAGGCUGGGACCUGAUCCUGGCAUAAAAAGCGGAUGCGGGCGACCGAGGACCACACACGUGGGGGCGUUCGCGGGCGCUGAAACCAGCUACGAGGCCCACGCCCCCGCCGGGGACAGCUGGUGACCAUCACCUUUGGACAGGGGCAUUCCCCAGCCGGCCCCGGAACUUGCGAAAGACGCGCAGCCCUUCGGACUCAGCCACUCGCGCAGGGCCCGGGUCCCGGGCGGCUCGGGGCACCUGAGGAGCGCGGCGAAGGCGGGGACAGGGACGGGGACGGGGACGACUCGGGAACAGGGAAGCGCGCGGCCUCCCGCAGGACCCACCUGGAUCUGCAACGGCACGAGGCGCACCUUGCAGCGCUCGCUCACCGCGAAGCCCUUGGGCAAGUCCACGUACUGGCCCCACUCCUCGGCGAACAGCUGCACCACGAAUUUGCGGUGCAUGUCGAUCUGGUCGCCGUACAGGCUGAGGAACUUCUGGAUGAGCAGCUCGUAGCCCGCCCCGUGUGGCACCGACGAGGGUCGCGCGAAGACUGAGAAACAGAAGAGCACCGGGACUGUGCCCGACGGCGCCCCCGCGCCCCCGGCGCCGCUGUUGGGGAGCGCAAGGACCGCCGGCUCCGCAGCCGCCAUGUUCCCCCGAGCGUCUGCGAGCUCCGAGGCCGCCCAGUCGCACCCAGCCGGCUGCCGCGGCCCCGCCUCCCGGCGAUGCCAGCCCGCCCGCCAGCUCGCGGAGGCGAAGGGGCGUGUCCUGACGACCGCUGCUCGCGCGCUCUCUUACCCGCCCCGGAGGGCGGGCCGCGGCGUAAGGGUGGGUGGUGGGGCCGGGGUGCGCGCGUGAGCCAGGGAGCGCCUGCGCUCGCCGGCCGGGUCCGCCCCCUCCAGCUUCCCGGGCCGCUGCGUUCCCGCAGUUCCCCGCUCGCGCCCUUUCUGCCGCGGUUCUGACUGCCGGCAGAACGCCUAGUGGUCUCGCAGACCCAAGACCCGCCUGGGCUGCCCGUUGUUCUUGCCCCGGUGCUGCAGCUCACACAAGGGUUUGUACCACCCUUCCCCUAACGCUGGCCCUCUUCGCGGCUUCGCUCGCCUUCGAAUGAGCAGUGUUCUUGGCAGUCUAGGGUUGUGGUUGGGUACACAGAGCCGCCAGGACGAGUUACCUGUUGGCUCUGUGCAGAAGCAUGCAGUCCUCCUCGAGAUGGCAGUGGUAUCUUACAACCAAAGGGACAGUCCGAUAGAUACCCUAAGAAGAGCAGCAGAAUUUAAUCCUUAGAGGGCCAGUCAAGGUUCAAGUUUUGUCUUUUUUCGGUCCCACAGAACACAAUAUCUCUAGGAAUGGAUUUGAUAUCUGGCCUCCCUUCAUCUCAACCUAUUUCUGGGAGGACUUGGAUUUGGGAAUAUAAAUACUAUUAAAAGCAAAAAUCUGAACUUUAUAUUGAAACUAAGGAUAUCUGUUUUUAAGUAAGUAAAAGGGAUCACUUUCAAAUAAAACAAUCCUCUGCCUUCUGCACACUGUAAGGCGCUAUAAUUAACUGGAAUUAGAAAGCAUGCAUUAUGAACAGAAUUUCCUUGGAAUUGAGUCCUGCGAAGAUAGGCAUGGGCCUAAACAUAAAAUUAGAUUUUAGGUAUUAAAGCUGUCCUCUUCUAAGAAAAUAACCUUUAAAGCAGGGUUUCCCAACUGACACUGUUGACUUCUGGAAUGGACAUUUCUCUUUCUUGGGGAUGGGGCAUCUUGUGCAUUUGCAGGAUAUUUAGCAGCAUCACCGGCUUCUACUCCCGCUAGAUGCCUAGUGACCGCUCCUCCCUCUAGUUAUGGCAAUCAAAAAUGUUUCCAGACAUUGCCAAAUAUUCCCCAGAGGGCAAAUAUACCCCCUACUUGAGAACCACACUGCUUUAAAGUUAUGAAAAGACCAUCCUUUGGUGUUUCUUGCUCAAUUGUACCGAAGCUACUAGAAAUAGCCAUUUUUUUCUGGUUCUCAUCACACUUUGAGAGAUCCCAUUUAAAAGUGUUGUCUGAACCCGUCAGACCCAAAAUGAUAUUUUUUUCCGGAUACCACUCCAUUGCAAGGUCUUCUAUAUGCAGAUAUGCUGAUUUGUGCUAAUAAGUGUACCCCCUCAAGACCUGAUUACCAAAAGGUACCUACCUAUUUUGGGUGGACUAAUAAAAGUGUUCCUUCCACCCUGUAAAGCCUCCUAACACAGAGUAGGUUGGAGAUUAGAGAUUGGCCUAGACUUCAGACAUCCUCAGCGAGGACCUUGGCAUCUACACAGUCUUCUGCCGUGGCCCUCAUGGCCGUGAGUCAACAUACUUCAUUUCCCUUUCAUGUUUUUAAAUUAGGUUUCUGACCCUUCAGUAAGGAAAUCAACUUCCAUAUAUAUUGUGCUGUCUGAGAUUGGUCCUUGACAACCUAGUUUAAUGGUGCAAUCAUUGUGGUAAUAGCAUGUUAAAUAACAUUAAUAAAAUAGAUAUUUGAUGGGCA